UGAAUAAAACUAUUAUCUUAUCUUAUCUUCUUACCUAUUAGCAAUAGUCUGUGACACUUGAACACUUGAGGACAUUGCUCUCACCAAAAAAAAUCUUUUACCAGUAAAUUUUAUUCCAAUUAAUAAAUCUGGAUAAAACUUUAGAAUACAUACGUUCACGAUUUGAAUUGAUUUAUCAAUUUUUAAAGCGUUACUCAAUCCUCCACAAUUAUUUGGUAGUUAGUAGCCAUUACUCAAGCACAAGUCUGUGUCGAAUGUGGUCAUCACCCUCAGUAAAAACCUUAUCCAAUUGAAUUCCAUUAAUCUAAUCUAGAUACAUUUUUUCAAAUAGUAUUAUUUUAAAGCGUUCACAUUGUACAUAUGAUCAAUUACUAGCUUCAUUGAAAUCGGAUAACUAAUUUCACAGUACUUGAAUGUAUUCUUUUGUGUUAUGUUGUAGGUGUGAAGAGAGAAGUUUGUUGUGGUGGGGGGAGGGGACAGCUUGGUAUACUGAUUGCUGUAAUGGGAUGACAGCUUACAAGUAUGGUACUUGAGAGAUGGCUGAAUUUCUGAUCGAACGUAACAGCUCGGUGACAAGAAAGAACGAAGACCCCUCCAUUACACCUCAUAAAUGGGAUACAAUGACCUUGUGCGCCUUGUGACCUUGUGCUCCACAAGAUGAUACCAAAACAUAUUACACAGUGUAGAUGGACAGAUAGAAAGUGUGAACAUCAAAAGCCAUCGUGUGUGUUACCCAGUUUCCAUUCUGCAUCUAACAAUAGUAACCGAACAUCCAACAUCAUAACUUUAUUAUAUCAUCUAGUUAAUUUUGAUAUCACAUUAACUAAAAAGCUUUCCUCAUAAUAUACAAGAAAUUAAUACAUUGCCGAGAUUGUCAAAGAUGUGAAUUUUCAAUGUGCUUUGAUGCAAAUUAUUGCAAAAAACUAAUAUCAUGGUUAGCUAUGCAUAAAUUAAUAGGCAUGAUGGUCAUUCUUUACUGAAUCGAAAUAAGCUGUUAUAACUUUGUCAACUAUUAAUUUGGUUUUCAAUAAACUAGUUAUGAUCAGAUGCCUUAUUAAUAAAUGCAAAAUUCAUGUAGGUUAUGUAGCUUUUCUGCAAUAAACUAAAAUUACUCAAUAA
Molecule: long non-coding RNA, 1119 nt
Organism: Nilaparvata lugens (brown planthopper)
Lineage: Eukaryota; Metazoa; Arthropoda; Insecta; Hemiptera; Delphacidae
Exons: 3
Source: RefSeq, a predicted model, not a curated record